This 253-nucleotide ribosomal RNA is filed under the name uncultured Rikenellaceae bacterium. Its description in RNAcentral is "partial 16S ribosomal RNA". It matches the Rfam family "Bacterial small subunit ribosomal RNA", at positions 524 to 776 of the family's 1533-position model. Lineage: Bacteria; Pseudomonadati; Bacteroidota; Bacteroidia; Bacteroidales; Rikenellaceae. The record is from RNAcentral.
UACGGAGGAUUCAAGCGUUAUCCGGAUUUAUUGGGUUUAAAGGGUGCGUAGGCGGUCGGAUAAGUUAGAGGUGAAAUGUCCGAGCUCAACUCGGGAACUGCCUCUAAUACUGUUGAUCUAGAGAGUAGAUGCGGUAGGCGGAAUGUAUGGUGUAGCGGUGAAAUGCUUAGAGAUCAUACAGAACACCGAUUGCGAAGGCAGCUUACCAAGCUACUUCUGACGUUGAGGCACGAAAGCGUGGGGAGCAAACAGG